GCUUAUGGCCACACCGCCUGGUUCACGUCCGAUCUCGUUUGAUCUCGGAAGCUAAAAUAGGUUGGGCCUGGUUAGUACUUGCAUGGGAGACUGCCUGGGAAUACCAGGUGCUGUAAGCC
This is a ribosomal RNA of Scophthalmus maximus (turbot), 119 nucleotides long. NCBI's taxonomy places the organism in Eukaryota, Metazoa, Chordata, Actinopteri, Pleuronectiformes, Scophthalmidae. The record is from Ensembl.